GACGAACGCUGGCGGCGUGCUUAACACAUGCAAGUCGAACGGAAAGGCCCUGCUUUUGUGGGGUUCUCGAGUGGCGAACGGGUGUGUAACACGUGAGUAACCUGCCCUUGACUUUGGGAUAACUUCAGGAAACUGGGGCUAAUACCGGAUAGGAGCUCCUGCUGCAUGGUGGGGGUUGGAAAGUUUCGGCGGUUGGGGAUGGACUCGCGGCUUAUCAGCUUGUUGGUGGGGUAGUGGCUUACCAAGGCUUUGACGGGUAGCCGGCCUGAGAGGGUGACCGGCCACAUUGGGACUGAGAGACGGCCCAGACUGCUACGGGAGGCAGCAGUGGGGAAUAUUGCACACUGGGCGGAAGCCUGAUGCAGCAACGCCGCGUGCGGGAUGACGGCCUUCGGGUUGUAAACCGCUUUCGCCUGUGACGAAGCGUGAGUGACGGUAAUGGGUAAAGAAGCACCGGCUAACUACGUG
RNAcentral lists this ribosomal RNA (468 nucleotides) under uncultured bacterium. RNAcentral describes it as "partial 16S ribosomal RNA". It matches the Rfam family "Bacterial small subunit ribosomal RNA", at positions 28 to 507 of the family's 1533-position model. The record is from RNAcentral.